GACGAACGCUGGCGGCGUGCUUAACACAUGCAAGUCGAACGGAAGGGCCCUGCUUUUGUGGGGUGCUCGAGUGGCGCACGGGUGAGUAACACGUGAGUAACCUGCCCUUGACUUUGGGAUAACUUCAGGAAACUGGGGCUAAUACCGGAUAGGAGCUCCUGCUGCAUGGUGGGGGUUGGAACGUUUCGGCGGUUGGGGAUGGACUCGCGGCUUAUCAGCUUGUUGGUGGGGUAGUGGCUUACCAAGGCUUUGGCGGGUAGCCGGCCUGAGAGGGUGACCGGCCACAUUGGGACUGAGAUACGGCGCAGACUCCUACGGGAGGCAGCAGUGGGGAAUAUGGCACAAUGGGCGGAAGCCUGAGACAGCAACGCCGCGUGCGGGAUGAAGGCCUUCGGGGUGUAAACCGCUUUCGCCUGUGACGAAGCGUGAGUGACGGUAAUGGGUAAAGAAGCACCGGCUAACUACGUG
This 468-nucleotide ribosomal RNA is filed under the name uncultured bacterium. RNAcentral's name for it is "partial 16S ribosomal RNA". It matches the Rfam family "Bacterial small subunit ribosomal RNA", at positions 28 to 507 of the family's 1533-position model. The record is from RNAcentral.